Molecule: ribosomal RNA, 539 nt
Filed under: uncultured bacterium
Lineage: Bacteria
Description: bacterial SSU rRNA
Rfam family: Bacterial small subunit ribosomal RNA
Source: RNAcentral
GAGGAAUAUUGGUCAAUGGACGGAAGUCUGAACCAGCCAAGUAGCGUGCAGGAUGACGGCCCUCUGGGUUGUAAACUGCUUUUAGUUGGGAAUAAAAAAGAGGACGUGUCCUCUAUUGUAUGUACCUUCAGAAAAAGGACCGGCUAAUUCCGUGCCAGCAGCCGCGGUAAUACGGAAGGUCCAGGCGUUAUCCGGAUUUAUUGGGUUUAAAGGGAGCGUAGGCGGAUUAUUAAGUCAGUGGUGAAAGACGGUGGCUCAACCAUCGUUAGCCAUUGAAACUGGUAGUCUUGAGUGUAGACAGGGAUGCUGGAACUCGUGGUGUAGCGGUGAAAUGCUUAGAUAUCACGAUGAACUCCGAUCGCGAAGGCAGGUGUCCGGGCUGCAACUGACGCUGAGGCUCGAAAGUGUGGGUAUCAAACAGGAUUAGAUACCCUGGUAGUCCACACAGUAAACGAUGUAUACUCGCGGUUUGCGAUAUAAUGUAAGCCGCCAAGCGAAAGCAUUAAGUAUACCACCUGGGGAGUACGCCGGCAACGGUG